RNAcentral lists this long non-coding RNA (4159 nucleotides) under Equus caballus (horse). RNAcentral describes it as "lncRNA (ENSECAG00000049422.1)". Lineage: Eukaryota; Metazoa; Chordata; Mammalia; Perissodactyla; Equidae. The record is from RNAcentral.
AAGUUGGUGGGAGACUUGCGUCAUCUAUCCUGUUCCGUGACUCAGUUUAUCCUUUCAAGGGAGACUUCUUGAGGUGGCAAGCACCCUAAUGGCUCUUAACUGCUCAAACCAUGCUCACCAGAUUUGCAGCCAUUUUGGCUUCCGAGAUGCCCUUAGCAACAGCUUUCACCUCAUGCACAUAUUCCCAGACAUCAAACUUAUAAAGAUGCCUGUGUCUUAUGACAAAUGACAAAAAAAGACAGAGUCAAGAAAAAUAAUGACUAAUCUCUUGGAGGAAAAGGAUCAAUAACCAAUGAGUAUGCAAACCAAAUCCUAGAGUCGCUCAGUCAAAGAAGGUAGCUUCACUAAUAUUUUCUCCUGCUGCUCUAAAUUUAAAAAGGGAAAAAACUCACCAAUCUCACUUCCACUGGACCCUGAAGGCAGAGAUCUGGGAGACUGCUGUGAGAGCAAGUUCAUUACAAAUCUGCUGUGCGACUGAUGGCUUUGAAGAGAUAAGGCAGAGGGGUAAAACACAUUUGGGAAAGUAUUUAUAGAGUGGCUGAGUCAGGUCGGAGCCUCAAGCUGAUCGUGGUUGAUGCCGAGCGUCCCCAUGAAGCUGGUGUCCUGCGCUCAGCAGGUGCAUUAUUCAGAGCAGAACCUCCUCAGCAUGAGGUGAAGGCCAGAAAUGUGGAUGCUGUAGACGACGCAUCCUUAUUCCCUGAGACACAACAAUAUUGAAAUUAGGCCCAUUAAUAACCCUACAAUGGCCUCUAAGUGUUCAAGCGAAAGGAAUAGUUGCACGUUUCUGACUUUAAAUUAAAAGCUAGAAUGAUUAAGCUCAGUGACGAAGGCAUGUUGAAAGCUGAGAUAGGCUGAGAGCUGGGUCUCUUGAAUCAAACAAUUAGCCAAGUUGUGAAUGCAAAGGAAAAGUUCUUGAAGGAAAUUAACUGUGCUACUCCAGUGAACAGACAAAUGAUAAGAAAUUGAAACAGUCUUAUUGCUGUUAUGGAGAAAGUUUUAGUGGUUUCGAUAGAAGAUCAAAACAGCCGCAACAUUCCCUUAAGACAAAUCAUAAUCCAGAGCAAGGCUCUAACUUUCUUCAAUUCUAUGAAGACUGAGAGGGGGCAGGAAGCUGCAGAAGAAAAGUUUGAAGCAGCAGAGUUUCGUUCAUGAGGUUUAAGGAAAGAAGCCAACUUCAUAACAUAAAAGUGCAAGGGGAAGCAGCACAUGCUGAUGUAGAAGCCACAGCAAGUUACCCAGAAGAUCUAGCUAAGAUAACUCAUGAAGGUGCCUACACUAAACAGCAGAUUUUCAAUGUAGGUGAAACAACUUUAUGUUGGAAGAUGCCAUCUAGGACUUUCAUAGCUUGAGAGGAGAAGUUAACUCCUGGCUUCAAAACUUCAAAGGACAGGAUGACUCUCUUAAUAGGGUCUAGCACAGCUGGUGACUUUAAGUGGAAGCCAAUGCUCAUUUACCAUUCUGAAAAUCCUAGAUCCCUUAAGAAUUAUGCUAAAUCUACUCGGUCUGUGCUCUAUAAAAGGAACAACAGAGCCUGGAUGACAGCACAUCUGUUUACAACAUUAUUUACUGAAUAUUUUAAGCCCAUCAUUGAGAGCUACUACUUAGAAUAAAAGAUUCCUUUCAAAAUAUUACUGCUCAUCAACAAUGCACCUGGUCACUCAAGAACUCAGAGAUUGCUAGGAGAUGAAUGUUGUUGUCACACCUGCCAACACAACAUCCAUUGUGCAGCCCAUGGAUCAAGGGGGAAUUAAGAUUUAACUUUUCAAAUCUUAUUAUUUAAGAAACAUAAGACUAUGGCUGCCGUAGAUAGUGGUUCCUCUGAUAGAUCUGGGCAAAGUAAGUUGAAAAAUUUCUGGAGAGGAUUCAGCAUUCUAGAUGCUAUUAAGGACAUUUGUGAUUCAUGAGAAGAGGUCAAAGUAUCAAUAUUUACAGGAGUUUGGAAGAAGUUAAUUAAUUCCAGUCCUCGUGGGUCACUUUGAGGGGUUCGAGACUCCAGUGGAGGAAGUAACUGCAGAAGUGGUGGAAAUAGCAAGAGAACUUGAAUUGGUAGUGGAGCUGGCAGAGGCGACUCACUUGCUGCAAUCUCGUGAUAAAACUGUAACAGAUGAGGAGUUGUUUCUUAUGGAUGAGCAAAGAAAGUGGUUCCUUGAGAUGGAAGCUACUCCUGCUAAAGAUGCUAUGCAGAUUGUUGAAAUGACAACAAAAGAUUUAGAAUAUUCCAUAAACUUAGUAGAUAAAGCAGUGACAGGGUUUGAGAGGAUUGACUCCAAUUUUGAAAGAAGUCCUACUGUAAGAUGCCAUCAAACAGCAUCGCAUGCUGCAGAGAAAUUGUUUGCCAAAGGAAGAGUCAAUCGAUGCAGCAAACUUCAUUGCUAUCUUAUUCUAAGAAAUUGCCACAGUCACCACAAUCUUCAGCAACCACCAGCCUGAUCAGUGAGCAGCCAUCAACCUUGAGGCAAGAUCCUCCACCAACAAAAAGAUUAUGACUUGCUGAAGGCUCAGAUGAACAUUAUUUUAGCAACAAAAUAUAUAUAUAAAUAUAUAUUUUUUUUGAGGAAGAUUAGCCCUGAGCUAACUGCUGCCAAUCCUCCUCUUUUUGCUGAGGAAGACUGGCCCUGAGCUAACAUCUGUGCCCAUCUUCCUCUACUUUAUAUGUGGGACGCCUACCACAGCAUGGCUUUGCCAAACGGUGUUAUGUCCGCACCCCGGAUCUGAACCGGCGAACCCUGGGCCGCCGAAGCGGAACAUGCAAACUUAAGCGCUGCGCCACCAGGCCAGCCCCUCAAGAGUCUUUUUAAAAAAACAAACAAGCAAGCAUUAUUGGUAGAUAAAAGAGGCGCAUCAUCUACUCUUUGCUCUCAAAAAAUAUUUUUGGAAAUCUGCUGUCUUAGUUUGGUUUCACCAAGUUGCAAAACAGAUCCAGACACAAGGAUUCAAGUGCAAGUUGUUUAUUUGGGAUGUGGUCCCUGGAAAUGCUGAAUAUUGAAGUGAGGAAGUAGAACAGGCAAGGGAAGGCCAUGGAAAGCCAAGAAAACGUGUGUUACAAAGGAGGUUCUCAGUGAGAUAGAUUGCAAUUUAGUCCUGAUGGGGCUCUCUAGGAGCCAAAGUAUCAUGCGAGGCUUGGGGUCAUCCUACCUGGGGGAUGAAGGAGCUGUGGCAUUUUAUACCAACUCCUGUCAGUCCUUGGCCAAUGGCUGUUCCUGGGGACUUUCCUUUCCUGGUACUUCUACAGGCGGAGUGGGCUCUUAUGGCUAGAGAAGAGCAGAGACACUGGAAAUUGGAAAUCAGCCUGGUGACCUCAUCUGGAGUCAUGAACCUACAUUCCAUCUACAGACCCAUGACUCCAUCGUUUGGAUCUCUACCCUGGGUUCCGGCGCAUGUAGCCUGCUUCCUCCACUCCUUGAACUGAUGCCUCAAACCCAGCAUGUCCAAAGCGGAGCUCUGAGUCCAUCCACAACCUGUCAUCCGCAUCUCAGUUCACAGCCCCAGCAGUGAGUACUCAGACCCAAAACCUUGGAGAAAUAUUUGACUCAUUUUUAUCUCUCAUGUUCCUCAUCUAAUUUAUUAAUAACUCUAAUUGGCUCUAUCUUUACAAUAUAAAUAUGUACACACAGAAUCUGACCAUGUCUCAACAUCUACUGUGCUAACACCCAGACUAAGCCUCAAUCUUCUCUCACCUGGACUGAAAUAUGCCACUGACAAGACUUCCCUGCUUCCAGUCAAUUCUCCAAACACCAGUUGUAGUGAUGGUUGACAGUGUAAAUUAGGUAAUUUCAUACCCUUAUGCAAAACUCGUCAAUGGUCUCCAUCACACUCAGAAUGAAAUCUAAGCACUAUGUGCUACAACGCUAUAUGCCAGCAAAUAGCUGUCUAUUUCUCAUGCUCACCUCCUUCCAUUCUCCUCACUUGUUCCUCUGCACACGGACCUUCAUGCUUUCCAGGUGUAAGCCAAGCCCAUUCCUGCCUUGGACCAGGGGAGUGCAGGGUGGGGUUUCCCAGAAAGGCAAACAGGGUGCCGUUGGAGGCCUCAGGGUGUGCUUUGUGGCUUCAGGUGGGUGGGGGGAAGUUAGUGAGGAUCCAGCUGGAGGGUCAGGGAGAAGAUGGGACUGUGAUGCACUGAGCAUCAGGAACAGCUCAGAGGAUGGUGGCAUCAGGCCCC